UUCAAUGCCUGAAGGCGGGUCAUCGACAAAGCUGCCUCGGUCUCCCAAUGCUCCUAUUGCUCCUAGGAGGGUGAAAAGAAUGAAGAAGAGAAGAAGGGGUUCAGCUUCAUAAAUGGGAAUUCCAGUCUCCAGGUUCAACUGCGCUAGAAUUCCUUUCCCUGUUAUCGCUUCACCUAGCAAGGAUGCCUGCAAGAUUACACCAAAAGCCGAUUGUUAAUAUGUAUCAGUACUGCUCAUUUUAAUUUCACAAGAGAAUUUGACAUCUCAAUUUUUGCCCUGGUAAAACAGUUAAUCACUCUACCCUGUUUUGUUUUCUGUUUUUUUAGUGCCUAGAGAACUGUGGGACAAGCUGACAUUGCUAACAGAACAGCACCAACCCUCAAAAACAAUGUGUUUGAACAAAUAAAGGAGCCAAGUGAAAUCUUUUAUUUCCUUUAAUCUGUUCUGACUACAACGUCCAAAAUUUUCUGACUAAACCGAUAUUUUUCCUCCGACUUUUCACUGUGAAAAAUGAAUCAUUUUUAAGCAAAUCGUUAACAAUUAUAUUGUGUAUUGAUACGACACAGCAACAACUGCUAAUUUUAUUAAACAGAACUUGUUGCUAUUAAAAAUUCAACCAGCAUCAAGGAAAAACAAUGAAGCCAGCUACAAUCCCAGCUAAUAAGAAAAUACUAAAAACUGAUGAGACUACUCAAGUGCUAAAUAUAGCUUGGUUGAAAAGAAG
Molecule: long non-coding RNA, 724 nt
Filed under: Theobroma cacao (cacao)
Lineage: Eukaryota; Viridiplantae; Streptophyta; Magnoliopsida; Malvales; Malvaceae
Description: long non-coding RNA (TCAC_LNC004765)
Source: RNAcentral